GCCGCCGCCGCGCUGGUUGCAUGGCAACAGCCCACCGGAAGGGGCCCCUUCCCCGCGCGGUGCACGCCGGGAGUUGUAGUCCCGCCGCCCCUGAGCGCCCUCAGUGGCUGCAGCCGCGGCACUACCGCUCCCAGCGUGCCCCGCGGCAAGCCAAGAUGGCGGCGCUCUCCGCGGCGGGCGGGGAGUGAGGUGUGAGGGGGAGCUCUGGGGCUCGGUAGCGGCGGCGGUGGGGUCAGUGCGGCCCCGGGGUCCCCCCCACCGCCGGGGGGAAGCGUCCGUGCUGGGGGAUGAGGACGAGCGCUGGUUGCUCGUCCGGAUGGGGCCCGCUGCCGUGGUGAACGUGUAUAUAUACACAGUUCUCAGGCACGUCACUGCUGGGAGAGCCAGGUGGAGAGUCCCAGCUCCGCGUCUGACUCCUCCAUUGAAUCCUCCUGAGCUGAGGCUGUGCCCUGCAGCCCCUGUCCUGCCUCCUCCUGCAUUACUGCAGCACAAGAUGCUCCCUGCGAGCCACUGGCAUCCAGGAAACGAGGGGGUUGGAGCUGCAGCCUCGUUGAGAGGAGGAUGGCGCUGGCUGUGGUGAAGGAGGAAGGACUCGAGUGUCUCACUGGUGCAAGAGGUCACUGAAGGCAGAGGAAACAGGGUCCAAAGUGCGAAAGAGGAGCUGGAGAGGGAACCUGGAGCGAGGUGAAUGCCCUUCCUGUGC
RNAcentral lists this long non-coding RNA (703 nucleotides) under Amazona collaria (yellow-billed parrot). Its description in RNAcentral is "lncRNA (ENSACOG00000012200.1)". Lineage: Eukaryota; Metazoa; Chordata; Aves; Psittaciformes; Psittacidae. The record is from RNAcentral.